RNAcentral lists this long non-coding RNA (321 nucleotides) under Vitis vinifera (wine grape). RNAcentral describes it as "long non-coding RNA (VVIN_LNC005508)". Lineage: Eukaryota; Viridiplantae; Streptophyta; Magnoliopsida; Vitales; Vitaceae. The record is from RNAcentral.
CACAUUCUCUGUAUUCCCCUCUCCUAAGGUCUCUGACACUGUUGUUGAGCCUUACAACGCCACACUCUCUGUUCACCAGCUUGUUGAGAAUGCAGACGAGUGUAUGGUUCUUGACAAUGAAGCCCUUUAUGACAUUUGCUUCCGAACACUGAAACUCACUACUCCAAGCUGUAAGUCACUUAUAGUGUCUUAAUUCUACUUUUACUUGUGUUUUUCUUUCUUCUGAAACUGAUCAAUACCUGUUUUUAAUCAGUUGGGGACCUGAAUCACCUGAUUUCCGCCACCAUGAGUGGGGUAACUUGCUGCCUUCGCUUCCCCGGU